Molecule: ribosomal RNA, 497 nt
Filed under: uncultured bacterium
Lineage: Bacteria
Description: partial 16S ribosomal RNA
Rfam family: Bacterial small subunit ribosomal RNA
Source: RNAcentral
GAUGAACGCUGGCGGCGUGCCUAAUACAUGCAAGUCGAGCGAACAGAUGAGGAGCUUGCUCCUCUGACGUUAGCGGCGGACGGGUGAGUAACACGUGGAUAACCUACCUAUAAGACUGGGAUAACUUCGGGAAACCGGAGCUAAUACCGGAUAAUAUAUUGAACCGCAUGGUUCAAUAGUGAAAGACGGUUUUGCUGUCACUUAUAGAUGGAUCCGCGCCGCAUUAGCUAGUUGGUAAGGUAACGGCUUACCAAGGCAACGAUGCGUAGCCGACCUGAGAGGGUGAUCGGCCACACUGGAACUGAGACACGGUCCAGACUCCUACGGGAGGCCGCAGUAGGGAAUCUUCCGCAAUGGGCGAAAGCCUGACGGUGCAACGCCGCGUGAGUGAUGAAGGUCUUCGGAUCGUAAAACUCUGUUAUUAGGGAAGAACAAAUGUGUAAGUAACUAUGAACGUCUUGACGGUACCUAAUCAGAAAGCCACGGGUAACUACGUG